This 1394-nucleotide ribosomal RNA is filed under the name Streptomyces rubellomurinus subsp. indigoferus. Its description in RNAcentral is "bacterial LSU rRNA". It matches the Rfam family "Bacterial large subunit ribosomal RNA", at positions 1556 to 2925 of the family's 2925-position model. Lineage: Bacteria; Bacillati; Actinomycetota; Actinomycetes; Kitasatosporales; Streptomycetaceae. The record is from RNAcentral.
CUGAGACCUGAUGCCGAGCCGAUUGUGGUGAAGUGGAUGAUCCUAUGCUGUCGAGAAAAGCCUCUAGCGAGUUUCAUGGCGGCCCGUACCCCAAACCGACUCAGGUGGUCAGGUAGAGAAUACCGAGGCGUUCGGGUGAACUAUGGUUAAGGAACUCGGCAAAAUGCCCCCGUAACUUCGGGAGAAGGGGGGCCAUUCCUGGUGACGAGUCUUGCACUCCGAGCUGGGGGUGGCCGCAGAGACCAGCGAGAAGCGACUGUUUACUAAAAACACAGGUCCGUGCGAAGCCGUAAGGCGAUGUAUACGGACUGACGCCUGCCCGGUGCUGGAACGUUAAGGGGACCGGUUAGCUUUGAUUCGUCGAGGCGAAGCUGAGAACUUAAGCGCCAGUAAACGGCGGUGGUAACUAUAACCAUCCUAAGGUAGCGAAAUUCCUUGUCGGGUAAGUUCCGACCUGCACGAAUGGCGUAACGACUUCUCGACUGUCUCAACCAUAGGCCCGGUGAAAUUGCAUUACGAGUAAAGAUGCUCGUUUCGCGCAGCAGGACGGAAAGACCCCGGGACCUUUACUAUAGCUUGAUAUUGGUGUUCGGUUCGGCUUGUGUAGGAUAGGUGGGAGACUGUGAAAGCCCAACGCCAGUUGGGUGGGAGUCGUCGUUGAAAUACCACUCUGGUCGUGCUGGAUGUCUAACCUGGGUCCGUGAUCCGGAUCAGGGACAGUGUCUGGUGGGUAGUUUAACUGGGGCGGUUGCCUCCUAAAGGGUAACGGAGGCGCCCAAAGGUUCCCUCAGCCUGGUUGGCAAUCAGGUGUUGAGUGUAAGUGCACAAGGGAGCUUGACUGUGAGACUGACGGGUCGAGCAGGUACGAAAGUAGGGACUAGUGAUCCGGCGGUGGCUUGUGGAAGCGCCGUCGCUCAACGGAUAAAAGGUACCCCGGGGAUAACAGGCUGAUCUUCCCCAAGAGUCCAUAUCGACGGGAUGGUUUGGCACCUCGAUGUCGGCUCGUCGCAUCCUGGGGCUGGAGUAGGUCCCAAGGGUUGGGCUGUUCGCCCAUUAAAGCGGUACGCGAGCUGGGUUUAGAACGUCGUGAGACAGUUCGGUCCCUAUCCGCUGUGCGCGUAGGAGUGUUGAGAAGGGCUGUCCCUAGUACGAGAGGACCGGGACGGACGAACCUCUGGUGUGCCAGUUGUUCUGCCAAGGGCAUGGCUGGUUGGCUACGUUCGGGAGGGAUAACCGCUGAAAGCAUCUAAGCGGGAAGCCUGCUUCGAGAUGAGCACUCCCACCUCCUUGAGAGGGUAAGGCUCCCAGUAGACGACUGGGUUGAUAGGCCGGGUAUGGAAGCCCUGUGAGGGGUGGAGUUGACCGGUACUAAUAGGCCGAGGGCUUGUCCUCAG